GAAAUGCGAUAAGUAGUAUAAAUUACAGAAUUCAGUAAAUUAUCAAAUCUUUAAACGCACAUUGCGCCCCUUAGUAUUCCGUAGGACAUGCCUGUUCGAGCGUCAUCUACACCCUCAAGCUCUGCUUAGUGUUGGGCGUCUGUCCCGCCUUCGCGCGUGGACUCGCCCUAAAUGCAUUGGCAGCGGUCCUUGCCCCCUCCCACGCAGCACAUUGCGCUUCUCGAGGCUGUGGCGGCCCGCGUCUAACAAGCUAAACCCCCCCGUCUUUGACCUCGGAUCAGGUAGGGAUACCCGCUGAACUUAAGC
RNAcentral lists this unclassified non-coding RNA (306 nucleotides) under plant metagenome. RNAcentral's name for it is "partial contains 5.8S ribosomal RNA, internal transcribed spacer 2, and large subunit ribosomal RNA". The stretch from base 1 to 105 matches the Rfam family "5.8S ribosomal RNA", at positions 50 to 154 of the family's 154-position model. The record is from RNAcentral.